This 466-nucleotide ribosomal RNA is filed under the name uncultured bacterium. RNAcentral describes it as "bacterial SSU rRNA". It matches the Rfam family "Bacterial small subunit ribosomal RNA", at positions 338 to 795 of the family's 1533-position model. The record is from RNAcentral.
CCUACGGGCUGCACCAGUGGGGAAUAUUGGGCAAUGGGCGCAAGCCUGACCCAGCGACGCCGCGUGAGGGAAGAAGGCCCUCGGGUCGUAAACCUCUGUCAGGAGGGAAGAAGUGGGUACCGGUUAACAGCUGGUGCCUUUGACGGUACCUCCAAAGGAAGCACCGGCCAACUCCGUGCCAGCAGCCGCGGUAAUACGGAGGGUGCAAGCGUUAUUCGGAAUCACUGGGCGUAAAGCGCGCGUAGGCGGCCUCGUAAGUCAGAUGUGAAAGCCCUCGGCUCAACCGAGGAAUAGCAUUUGAAACUGCGGAGCCAGAGUUCGGGAGAGGGUGGCGGAAUUCCAGGUGUAGGAGUGAAAUCCGUAGAUAUCUGGAGGAACACCAGAGGCGAAGGCGGCCACCUGGACCGAAACUGACGCUGAGGUGCGAAAGCGUGGGUAGCAAACAGGAUUAGAUACCCUCGUAGUC